CCUUCUGCGGGUUUUCAACUGGGCGAUCGACACCUUUUUGUAAUAUUUUUUGGAGAGGGAUGAAAGAGUAUGACAAGUUUACCACCAUUUCUAACUCUUUGGAUACUUGCGGAGUUUGAUGGCUCUUCAGAUGAGGAUAUUUUAAUGAUCAAAGUGCGAACAAAACGCGUAAAAUGGCCGAAAACUUGAAGUUUGAGGUUUAAUUUACUAACGAUCAAGAUGUGCACAUGAGACUACAAACCUUGAAGGGAGAUGUGAAGUGACCCCACUACGUAUAGUUGGCACUAUUGACAGAAUUGAUAGGUGUGACAUUUACUGUGGCAAGCUGGUAUUCAAAAGAAAGUCAUUAGUGUUAAAAGCUCACUACUGGUGUAAAUCAUAAAUCUUUCGUUCUCUCCUUGUAACUUGCCUCAACUAGCUUCUGCUAUAUGCAACUUAUGUCUUUACCUUUUUUGCAACUGUAAAAUUACCAAUAAAGUUUUUGAAAGUUU
Pocillopora damicornis (cauliflower coral) is the source of this 491-nucleotide long non-coding RNA. Lineage: Eukaryota; Metazoa; Cnidaria; Anthozoa; Scleractinia; Pocilloporidae. The record is from RefSeq and is a predicted model, not a curated record.